This 468-nucleotide ribosomal RNA is filed under the name Pseudomonas fluorescens. RNAcentral's name for it is "bacterial SSU rRNA". It matches the Rfam family "Bacterial small subunit ribosomal RNA", at positions 557 to 1025 of the family's 1533-position model. The record is from RNAcentral. Lineage: Bacteria; Pseudomonadati; Pseudomonadota; Gammaproteobacteria; Pseudomonadales; Pseudomonadaceae.
GGCGUAAGGGCGCGCAGGUGGUUCCUUAAGUCGGAUGUGAAAGCCCCCGGCUCAACCUGGGAGCUGCAUUGGAAACUGACGAACUUGAGUGUGGAAGAGGGUGGUGGAAUUCCCUGUGUAGCGGUGAAAUGCGUAGAUAUGUGAAGGAACACCAGUGGCGAAGGCGACUCUCUGGACUGAUACUGACACUGAGGAGCGAAAGCGUGGGGAGCGAACAGGAUUAGAUACCCUGGUAGUCCACGCCGUAAACGAUGACUGCUAACCGUUGGGAGGCUUGCGCUCCUUAUGGCUCCGCUUACCCCUUUAGUUGACCGCCCGGGGAAUUCCGGCCCCAGGAUUGAACUCCAAUGGAUUGGCGGGGGGCCGCCCCAGCGGGGGAACCUGGGGUUUAAUUUCAAACCACCCCAAAAACCUUUCCCGGGCUUGGCCUUCCUUGGACUUUCCUAAAAUGGAUUGUUGCCUUCCGGA